GACGAACGCUGGCGGCGUGCCUAAUACAUGCAAGUCGAGCGAAGUUUUUCUGGUGCUUGCACCGGAAAAACUUAGCGGCGAACGGGUGAGUAACACGUAAAGAACCUGCCUCAUAGACUGGGACAACUAUUGGAAACGAUAGCUAAUACCGGAUAACAGCAUUAACUGCAUGGAUGAUGUUUAAAAGUUGGUUUUGCUAACACUAUGAGAUGGCUUUGCGGUGCAUUAGCUAGUUGGUGGGGUAAAGGCCUACCAAGGCGACGAUGCAUAGCCGACCUGAGAGGGUGAUCGGCCACACUGGGACUGAGACACGGCCCAGACUCCUACGGGAGGCAGCAGUAGGGAAUCUUCCGCAAUGGGCGAAAGCCUGACGGAGCAACGCCGCGUGAGUGAAGAAGGAUUUCGGUUCGUAAAGCUCUGUUGUUAGGGAAGAAUGAUUGUGUAGUAACUAUACACAGUAGAGACGGUACCUAACCAGAAAGCCACGGCUAACUACGUG
This 499-nucleotide ribosomal RNA is filed under the name uncultured bacterium. RNAcentral describes it as "partial 16S ribosomal RNA". It matches the Rfam family "Bacterial small subunit ribosomal RNA", at positions 28 to 507 of the family's 1533-position model. The record is from RNAcentral.